RNAcentral lists this ribosomal RNA (472 nucleotides) under uncultured bacterium. Its description in RNAcentral is "bacterial SSU rRNA". It matches the Rfam family "Bacterial small subunit ribosomal RNA", at positions 329 to 794 of the family's 1533-position model. The record is from RNAcentral.
UGCCAGACUCCUACGGGAGGCAGCAGUGGGGAAUAUUGCGCAAUGGGCGAAAGCCUGACGCAGCGACGCCGCGUGAGGGAUGAAGGUCUUCGGAUCGUAAACCUCUGUCAGCAGGGAAGAACGGUCACUGUGCUAAUCAGCAGUGAAUUGACGGUACCUGCAAAGGAAGCACCGGCUAACUCCGUGCCAGCAGCCGCGGUAAUACGGAGGAUGCGAGCGUUAUCCGGAUUUAUUGGGUUUAAAGGGUGCGUAGGCGGAACAUUAAGUCAGCGGUAAAAUCGAGGGGCUCAACCCCUUUAAGCCGUUGAAACUGGUGAUCUUGAGUGGGCGAGAAGUAUGCGGAAUGCGUGGUGUAGCGGUGAAAUGCAUAGAUAUCACGCAGAACUCCGAUUGCGAAGGCAGCAUACCGGCGCCCGACUGACGCUGAGGCACGAAAGCGUGGGGAUCGAACAGGAUUAGAUACCCGCGUACA